This 440-nucleotide ribosomal RNA is filed under the name uncultured bacterium. RNAcentral's name for it is "partial 16S ribosomal RNA". It matches the Rfam family "Bacterial small subunit ribosomal RNA", at positions 339 to 795 of the family's 1533-position model. The record is from RNAcentral.
CUACGGGGGGCUGCAGUGGGGAAUCUUAGACAAUGGGCGCAAGCCUGAUCUAGCCAUGCCGCGUGAGCGAUGAAGGCCUUAGGGUUGUAAAGCUCUUUCAGCUGGGAAGAUAAUGACUGUACCAGCAGAAGAAGCCCCGGCUAACUCCGGUGCCAGCAGCCGCGGUAAUACGGAGGGGGCUAGCGUUGUUCGGAAUUACUGGGCGUAAAGCGCACGUAGGCGGACUGGAAAGUCAGGGGUGAAAUCCCGGGGCUCAACCCCGGAACUGCCUUUGAAACUCCCAGUCUUGAGGUCGAGAGAGGUGAGUGGAAUUCCGAGUGUAGAGGUGAAAUUCGUAGAUAUUCGGAGGAACACCAGUGGCGAAGGCGGCUCAUUGGCUCGAUACUGACGCUGAGGUGCGAAAGCGUGGGGAGCAAACAGGAUUAGAUACCCCCGUAGUC